Populus nigra (black poplar) is the source of this 2060-nucleotide long non-coding RNA. RefSeq lists it as uncharacterized. The record is from RefSeq and is a predicted model, not a curated record. Lineage: Eukaryota; Viridiplantae; Streptophyta; Magnoliopsida; Malpighiales; Salicaceae. The transcript has 2 exons.
AUUGAUGUGUAUUUUUUAUUUUUUUCUAAUUAGAUUAUUUGUCUAAUCAUGAAUAAGUUUGUUAUUAAAAAAAAUUGUCGAGGAUACAAUAGUGGAGGCAAUUCAUCAAAAACAAGUUAUACGAAACUCAAUUUAGAUGAUUUUUUUUUAUUUUAGGUUAUGAAAUUUUUUAAAUAUCAUCUUUAAUUAUAGAGACAAAGCUUGAAGAGCAAGUUUGUAAAAAAGAUCUCUGUCAACCUCAUGAUUAUAAAUUUUCCUGAAAGAAAGAUAGGAAUAUAUAUCAUGAUUUGAUCCAAUUUGGUGCAAAGAGCAUGGUUAUCGGUUAGAGUAUAACAAAGAUAAUGAUUUGACAUUUUGUUUAUGUUGUUAUUUUUAUAGGCCACUAUGAGAAAUCAAGCAAGUGGAGAUUAUAUUGUUGGCAUCAGAUUUAGAAUUGGAAAGGUAAAAAAAGAUUUGAGAUUCAUUUUGGAGGUCCUAAUAAUGCUCACAACCAAGAUUAGAGGAAAUGCCAAGAUUUAAUUAAUCAAAAGCAACACAUUAAAGUUGCUUAUGUCAGAAUUUCAAAUCAAACUUAAAAAGAUUUUCAAAUUCGAUUGAUUAUAACUGUUGAUUAUAUUCAUUUUCUUUUGUGUUAAAGACUAGCUUUUCAUGCUUGUCCUGAAUCUAAGGAUUCAAAGAAUCAAAGAAACUUUCUUGAACUUCUAUGGUUUCUUAUGGCUCAUAAUCAAGGAAUCAAAGAUGUUGUUUUAAAAAAAUCUCAUGAAAAUCUAAAAAAUAUAGCUCAUGGCAUUCAAAAAGAUAUUGUACAUGUUGCAAUAGAAACCACUAAUAUCAUCUUGAAUGAUUUUGGUCGUGAGUUCUUCAUUAUUUUAAUUGAUAAGCUUCGUGAUGUAUCAGUUAAAAAGAAAAUGAUUGUUAUUCUAUGCUAUGUAGAUGCGAAGGGAUGUUUUAUUGAAUGCUUUCUUGAUAUUGUGCAUGUUAAAAACACAAUCGCUCUAUCACUUAAGGAGGCAAUUGAGGCAUUUUUUUACCUUACAUGGGCUUAAUAUAUCACAUUUGCGUGGAAAAGAAAGGUUAUGAUGGAGCUAGUAACAUGCAAGCUCUCCCUCAGGUUGCAAUGAACUUAUUGUACGGCGAAUGCUAUCUAUCAAUUGUUGGUUGCUCCAAGGCCUUUCGCACUCUAAUGCUUAUGAUAAUCGAUCUCCGCCGGUAACAAACAUCUCGCUUCUCGUUGUGGUCAGUUAUCCAUUCUACUGUAUUUACCCUGUUGAAACUGUAGUGAAAUGCUCACUUUCAGCUGAUGCCGUCUUGUCUGCCUUUUCGUCGUUUAACUGCUUGUAAUUUAUUGCUGUCAGCCUGGUUUCGUGAUUGAGGCCAGUUUCGGUGUUUGAUUUCACAUGUCUCCUCGUUAUAUAUUCAUUAGGGGUCAUUUUAUCAUGAGUUGCCGCGACGACAAAUUCUUGGAACCUACCUUUUACCUAACUAACGUGUCCUCUGUCAUGUUGUCAAGGGUGGAGUGUCAGGUCUGCGGUAGUAUCAGAAAGCAUGAUGAGCCUUUUUAUCCACAUUAUUUUUUUUAGUGCAUUACAACUGAAUGAAAGCAUGAAAGGUUUUCAAAUAAUGUGAAACAAUCAAUCACGAUUUUACGCUUUCUUGUCUUGAGAUGUACAGUAUCAGGUCGCAUAGUUGCAAGGGGAAAAUACUACAAAAUCCUUUCGAGUAACAGGGAGAGCUGCGCGCAUGCUGUAUGCGGAGGACAAUAAAAUUGGCUUCUCAGCCUUGCUUUCGUUCAAGCUGAAUGUUGGCCAAUAAUGAUUAUAUUCUAUUACACUUAGACAGUGGUAAAUCACCUAACGUUUGAUCGAAUUCGGGUCGAAAAUGUCGUUGUGCGUUUGAUUCAAAGAAAGCACUUGAGAGUCGAGACCAAAUGUGAAGGCGGUGCCUCAGCAAAACAUUGUAUGCUAGGGAAAGGGAAAGGAAGGUGGGGAAGAAAGAUGCACAUGAUGGUAGUAUUUUUAUGCUGGAUAAUGAUAGAUUAUAUAUGAUAAUUUUUUUGUGAA